GAUGAACGCUGGCGGCGUGCCUAAUACAUGCAAGUCGAGCGAACGGACGAGAAGCUUGCUUCUCUGAUGUUAGCGGCGGACGGGUGAGUAACACGUGGAUAACCUACCUAUAAGACUGGGAUAACUUCGGGAAACCGUAGCUAAUACCGGAUAAUAUUUUGAACCGCAUGGUUCAAAAGUGAAAGACGGUCUUGCUGUCACUUAUAGAUGGAUCCGCGCUGGAUUAGCUAGUUGGUAAGGUAACGGCUUACCAAGGCAACGAUGCAUAGCCGACCUGAGAGGGUGACCGGCCACACUGGAACUGAGACACGGUCCAGACUCCUACGGGAGGCAGCAGUAGGGAAUCUUCCGCAAUGGGCGAAAGCCUGACGGAGCAACGCCGCGUGAGUGAUGAAGGUCUUCGGAUCGUAAAACGCUGUUAUUAGGGAAGAACAUAUGUGUAAGUAACUGUGCACAUCUUGACGGUACCUAAUCAGAAAGCCACGGCUAACUACGUG
RNAcentral lists this ribosomal RNA (497 nucleotides) under uncultured bacterium. Its description in RNAcentral is "partial 16S ribosomal RNA". It matches the Rfam family "Bacterial small subunit ribosomal RNA", at positions 28 to 507 of the family's 1533-position model. The record is from RNAcentral.